This 2359-nucleotide long non-coding RNA is filed under the name Equus caballus (horse). RNAcentral's name for it is "lncRNA (ENSECAG00000034878.2)". Lineage: Eukaryota; Metazoa; Chordata; Mammalia; Perissodactyla; Equidae. The record is from RNAcentral.
CAGAGAGAUCUAGAAUCCCACGGGCUCAGCUUGAGGGGCUGAGGCCAGUCUGUUCAUUGCACCUGAAGACAAAGGGCUAUGGCACCCACUGGGCUCCUCCUCCCUCCUCCUGGGGCUCUGGGCAGGGCCAUCAACCCCCUUGCCUCUGCAGAGGUAGUGGAGAGAACCUGAGUUUUGCUGACAGAGAGGUGUGCCUGCCUAUUCUGGAGCUGCCACUGCCCAAAGGAACAAAGUCAAUUCUCUAAACCUCGAUUUUCUUUUCUGGAAAUUGGUGCAACAAUAUCUAUCCCAAGAAACUGUUGAAAGAUUAGAAAUGUUAUUUGUACAGCAUCAGGCACUUCAUAAAUGUCAUGGCUGGCAGGGCAGAGUAGCGACCUGCCCGGAGGCUGUCCCUCUUUGUGGGGGAGAAGGCACAGCAUGUUUUACUUGGUCCUGCUGGUGCUGGUGGGAACCACCACCUGCAGAUUAGCUCCAGCGCGAACCCCAGCCUGAUUUCAAGUGGCUCAGACUUGGAUUCCGACCUGCCUGCUCGGGGUCCCCUCAGAGCCUCUUGCAUUCCAAGGUCACUUUGUGAGCCACGCUUUCCAAGCACACUUCUGCUUCUCUCGGUAUUAUCCCUCAGUCUGUGAAAGCAGCCUCCUAGGCACUCAGAUUGGAAAUGAGCAGCUGUGAUCUCCCCUUUCUCUGUUGCAUCCAUCCAGGCACAAAGUCCUUUUGGAUCUCCCUCCGAAGCACCUGUCAGUCAAAGGUCCUUCUAAGCACUAUGGACCUGACUUCAGUUGGUGCCCUCAGCAGCCUCUGCCUGUGACUGCAGCUCCUCAUUCCCUGCCCUUCCACACCUCCUUCCAUGCGGCUGAUCACAUCACUCCCCUGAUCAAGCCCCCUAGAGCUCCCUAUUGCCUAUAAAUGCCAUUCAAGCUUCUCAGAACAGCAUAAGAAGCUCUCCAGGUUCUGUCUAUAGAAUGAGUCUUUGGUUUGUUUUCUAUUUGCAAGACUAUUUUGUUCAAAUAUGUUUUAAAGUGAUCACAAAAGGAAAGGCUUCAUGCCUCUGAACGAAGUUUAUAAACCUGAUGAGAAAAUGCAAAGGUGAGCAAAAUCAUCCUUUCUUGUAAGCGCCUGCAGUGAAUAAGUAAUGUCAGUCUCAGGGGACGCAGGCCUGGGGUGAGGAAGUCACCCCGCUCCCCCACCCCGAAGCUCAUCUCAGCAGGGGCCUCCAGAAGAGAGUAGCUUGCCUGGAGCCAAAGCCCUUCUCUUUCCUGCUACAAAGGUGCAGGUACAAAGGACAAUUAGGACAGGUAAAAAGGCAAUUAAUAGGCUGCUCAAAGUAAGUGAAAGGCAAAUGAACUGAAACCUCACAUGUAUUAAAGAAUAACAGAGAACAGGUCAAGAUGAGCAGGGGCAUGUUCCUAUUAAUAACACCGCUUAUGAAUAGCUACAGCCACUGAUUGAGUUUAUUAUCAGCCAGGUCCUUUGCUAAACAUGAAAAGAGCAUUAUUUCAUUUAAUCCCCACCACAAGCCAAGGAAGUGGGACUUUUAUGGCUCCCAUUUAUCAGAUCAGGAAAUUGUUCUGGGUGUGACAUAAUUUUCCCUGGUCCUCACUCUGGGGCGUGGGGUCCCUGUUCUGGGCCUGUGUGUUUCCCAAAGUGUGAGGCUACCUUUCUACAAAGCUAGAAAGACAGUGCUUCAGUCCAUGUUGAGAUAACGCCCAUGUGGAAGAAGAAAAUUUGUUUUUUUGUUUUGAGGAAGAUUAGCUCUGAGCUAACAUCUGCCACUAAUCCACCUCUUUUUGCUGAGAAAGACUGGCCCAGAGCUAACAUCCAUGCCCAUCUUCCUCUACUUUAUAUGUGGGACGGCUGCCACAGCGUGGUUUGAUAAGCAGUAUGUAGGUCCGCACCAGGGAUCUGAACCUGUGAACUGCUGGCCGCUGAAGAGGAGCGUGCCAAAUUCACCACUGUGCCACCGAGCCAGCCCCCAAAAUAUUUUUUCCAACUGCCCCAGAAUUUGCAAGCUUGCUCACAGUUCACUCGGCAGCUGGGACGUGACACUGCAGCACAGCACACUUCCCUCUUUCUCAGCCCCUUUUCAAAUUAUGCCUCCUGGGGUCUCCAACGAAUAAGAAACCAGCAUUUUAUGGAGUCCUACAAUUUUUAAGGGCUUUACCCUCAGCUAUACAGAGGCAGGGCAUGGAAAGCUUUGCAAUGACCAGAUCACCAAUGGCAGGGCCUCGAUUACACUACAGACAGAAACAUUUUCCUUCUGCAUCUGUGUCAGAGUGACGGUGUGUUUCCAUUUGCCUGUUACAUUUAGACUCCUGAGGCUGAACCUAUGAAGCUCUUAGUCAUUGCUCUUAUAGAUACA